This 21-nucleotide unclassified non-coding RNA is filed under the name Mus musculus (house mouse). RNAcentral describes it as "oocyte_clustered_small_RNA1354". Lineage: Eukaryota; Metazoa; Chordata; Mammalia; Rodentia; Muridae. The record is from RNAcentral.
GAGAAAAGGUCAAAGGGAUAC